RNAcentral lists this ribosomal RNA (254 nucleotides) under uncultured bacterium. Its description in RNAcentral is "partial 16S ribosomal RNA". It matches the Rfam family "Bacterial small subunit ribosomal RNA", at positions 524 to 777 of the family's 1533-position model. The record is from RNAcentral.
UACAGAGGUCCCAAGCGUUGUUCGGAUUCACUGGGCGUAAAGGGUGCGUAGGUGGUGAGGUAAGUCGGAUGUGAAAUCUCCGAGCUCAACUCGGAAACUGCAUUGGAAACUACCUUGCUCGAGGGUUGGAGGGGGGACUGGAAUGCUUGGUGUAGCAGUGAAAUGCGUAGAUAUCAAGCGGAACACCAGUGGCGAAGGCGAGUCCCUGGACCGGUUCUGACGCUGAUGCGCGAAAGCGUGGGGAGCAAACAGGG